GGCUCUGUGGCGCAAUGGAUAGCGCAUUGGACUUCUAAUUCAAAGGUUGUGGGUUUGAGUCCCACCAGAGUUG
Molecule: non-coding RNA, 73 nt
Organism: Lampris incognitus (smalleye Pacific opah)
Lineage: Eukaryota; Metazoa; Chordata; Actinopteri; Lampriformes; Lampridae
Source: the annotation of a RefSeq genome assembly